CGGGCUGUAGCGCAGUUUGGUAGCGCACUUGCUUUGGGAGCAAGGGGUCCUCGGUUCAAAUCCGAGCAGCCCGACCA
This 77-nucleotide transfer RNA is filed under the name Halanaerobiales bacterium. RNAcentral's name for it is "tRNA-Pro". It matches the Rfam family "tRNA". From Rfam's summary of the family: Transfer RNA (tRNA) molecules are approximately 80 nucleotides in length. Their secondary structure includes four short double-helical elements and three loops (D, anti-codon, and T loops). Lineage: Bacteria; Bacillati; Bacillota; Clostridia; Halanaerobiales. The record is from RNAcentral.